GACGAACGCUGGCGGCGUGCUUAACACAUGCAAGUCGAACGGAAAGGCCCUGCUUUUGUGGGGUGCUCGAGUGGCGAACGGGUGAGUAACACGUGAGUAACCUGCCCUUGACUUUGGGAUAACUUCAGGAAACUGGGGCUAAUACCGGAUAGGAGCUCCUGCUGCAUGGUGGGGGUUGGAAAGUUUCGGCGGUUGGGGAUGGACUCGCGGCUUAUCAGCUUGUUGGUGGGGUAGUGGCUUACCAAGGCUUUGACGGGUAGCCGGCCUGAGAGGGUGACCGGCCACAUUGGGACUGAGAUACGGCCCAGACUCCUACGGGAGGCAGAAGUGGGGAAUAUUGCACAAUGGGCGGAAGCCUGAUGCAGCAACGCCGCGUGCGGGAAGACGGCCUUCGGGUUGUAAACCGCUUUCGCCUGUGACGAAGCGUGAGUGACGGUAAUGGGUAAAGAAGCACCGGCUAACUACGUG
Molecule: ribosomal RNA, 468 nt
Filed under: uncultured bacterium
Lineage: Bacteria
Description: partial 16S ribosomal RNA
Rfam family: Bacterial small subunit ribosomal RNA
Source: RNAcentral